AGGCAGUUCAGCAGAGCAAAGGACUAAGGGGCAGACGAUUGCGGGUGAUGUUUCCCGGCAGCCCUUGCGGAAUUGACGUCCAUCCAAGCUCCAUACACUGAUAGGUUUUUAGCUGUUGGAAUAUGGUAUAAGUAUGCCUAUAUUUUGCAGCAAUGACGUCAUUCGUUCCAAUAUUCCAAUCAUUUAUCCAUCCAGCCAGUUCGCUAUCUAUGCUUUUUUGCCCCAAGCCUCCAGCACGUACAACAAUAUAUGCCAACAAGCUCGACUAGCUCGUGAAUCUUCGGCCCUCGCAAGGCAACUGUUAACAGGUCAAAAUUUGCCCAACAAAGAGUGCUAGAGCAAUAUUUCACUCAUGGCAACGUUUGCCGUGCUAAUAAUCUCGUCUUAUUAUCUACUGAAACGUGGUUGAAGCCUUUUUAAAGGAGUCAAGCCCUAGGCUAGAAGGAAAAAAAUUCAGACAGCGCUGAAGCAAGAGUGAGGAGCAAGAUAAAAAAGGAAAAUAAAAUUGAUCUUAUUUUAUAGUGAUACGCGCGCUACUGUUGUCAUCAAUACAAAAUUUAGGAAAGUUAGCCCAUUGAUUUGAUUCUAAAAACUGUCAAGGUGACCAGGUAGAAAUUAAAGAAAGGCUGGUCAUUCAUUUGUUCGCCCUUUAAACAAAAUUAAUUUUGCGGACGAUUUGUUGUUUAUUCUCCCAGCGUUUCUGUGUGUAACACAUGGUCUUUGGGAGAACAAGCAAGCACGACCAUAAAUUCUAGAUGAGUACUACUUUAACUUUUUGUCGCCGGCCAGAGAAGCGAGAAUUUCUGGGGAUAAAACGAGGAAAUACAAAAAAUAUUUUGCGAUUGAUCGUGAUCUUAACUAGGAAAAGAGCUUAAAGACCCUGGAGAAUAUUAGUUCUUGGAUUAGGUGGGCAAAGCAAUGCAAUGCCUGCGGAUCACGUUAAGCAUACUAUAGUAGGACAAAGUGACUGUCAACUUAUAAGAAACAUGCAUUUAUUUUAGAAAACGAGAGCUCGAGCCAGGGGCGUAUCUAGGGGGGUAGCCUAGGGGACCCGAGCCCCCCUUCUAGCAGCCAAAAAUACAGUAAAUGUAUAAGACAUUAUCUAAAA
Nematostella vectensis (starlet sea anemone) is the source of this 1108-nucleotide long non-coding RNA. RefSeq lists it as uncharacterized. The transcript has 3 exons. Lineage: Eukaryota; Metazoa; Cnidaria; Anthozoa; Actiniaria; Edwardsiidae. The record is from RefSeq and is a predicted model, not a curated record.